AGUGAACGCUGGCGGUAGGCCUAACACAUGCAAGUCGAACGGCAGCACAGUGAGAGCUUGCUCUUACGGGUGGCGAGUGGCGGACGGGUGAGGAAUACAUCGGAAUCUACUUUUUCGUGGGGGAUAACGUAGGGAAACUUACGCUAAUACCGCAUACGACCUACGGGUGAAAGCAGGGGAUCUUCGGACCUUGCGCGAUUGAAUGAGCCGAUGUCGGAUUAGCUAGUUGGCGGGGUAAAGGCCCACCAAGGCGACGAUCCGUAGCUGGUCUGAGAGGAUGAUCAGCCACACUGGAACUGAGACACGGUCCAGACUCCUACGGGAGGCAGCAGUGGGGAAUAUUGGACAAUGGGCGCAAGCCUGAUCCAGCCAUACCGCGUGGGUGAAGAAGGCCUUCGGGUUGUAAAGCCCUUUUGUUGGGAAAGAAAGGCAGCAGGUUAAUACCCCGCUGUUCUGACGGUACCCAAAGAAUAAGCACCGGCUAACUUCGUG
Molecule: ribosomal RNA, 492 nt
Filed under: uncultured bacterium
Lineage: Bacteria
Description: partial 16S ribosomal RNA
Rfam family: Bacterial small subunit ribosomal RNA
Source: RNAcentral